Molecule: ribosomal RNA, 727 nt
Filed under: uncultured archaeon S30-11
Lineage: Archaea
Description: bacterial SSU rRNA
Rfam family: Archaeal small subunit ribosomal RNA
Source: RNAcentral
CCUUGGGUCCGGCAUAACCCCGGGAAACUGGGGAUAAUUCCGGAUAACGCACAUAUGCUGGAAUGCUUUAUGCGUAAAAUGGAUUCGUCUGCCCAAGGAUGGGUCUGCGGCCUAUCAGGUAGUAGUGGGUGUAAUGUACCUACUAGCCAACAACGGGUACGGGUUGUGAGAGCAAGAGCCCGGAGAUGGAUUCUGAGACAUGAAUCCAGGCCCUACGGGGCGCAGCAGGCGCGAAAACUUUACAAUGCGGGAAACCGUGAUAAGGGGACACCGAGUGCCAGCAUCAUAUGCUGGCUGUCCAGGUGUGUAAACUACACCUGUUAGCAAGGGCCGGGCAAGACCGGUGCCAGCCGCCGCGGUAACACCGGCGGCCCGAGUGGUGAUCGUGAUUAUUGGGUCUAAAGGGUCCGUAGCCGGUUUGGUCAGUCCUCCGGGAAAUCUGAUAGCUCAACUAUUAGGCUUUCGGGGGAUACUGCCAGGCUUGGAACCGGGAGAGGUAAGAGGUACUACAGGGGUAGGAGUGAAAUCUUGUAAUCCCUGUGGGACCACCUGUGGCGAAGGCGUCUUACCAGAACGGGUUCGACGGUGAGGGACGAAAGCUGGGGGCACGAACCGGAUUAGAUACCCGGGUAGUCCCAGCCGUAAACGAUGCUCGCUAGGUGUCAGGCAUGGCGCGACCGUGUCUGGUGCCGCAGGGAAGCCAAGGAGCGAGCCACCUGGGAAGUAC